This 112-nucleotide ribosomal RNA is filed under the name Parcubacteria group bacterium GW2011_GWA2_40_23. The record is from RNAcentral.
GUCCUGGUGAUUCUAGCGCAAGGGCCACACCUGUUCCCAUCCCGAACACAGCAGUUAAGCCUUGCAGCCCCGAUGAUACUACUCAGUGGGAAAGUAGGACGUCGCCAGGACC